UAUUUUUCAAUUUGUCAAAAUAUGGAAUGCAGACAUAAUAAUAAAUAGAAUUUAAGAGAUACCAAACUAGUGAUGCAACAUAAUGAACCUAUUAACUUGUAUUUUAAAAGAGAACCUUAGAAAGGCCAUACUUAGGACUCUAAAAUUUUCAUUCUACUUAUGAUCUAACCAUGGGGGAUUUUGGAAAGAUCAUAACCUCAGAGAAAGGCAUCAGACUAAUACCUGCAUGGAAAUUUGCACAAGAUUUCAGAUUCCAAUCAUUGAGUUCAAGGCAGUUUAAAUACAAAGCUCGCAAGUAAAUUCACAAGUUCAAUAUUUGAAGACCAAAAUUGACUCAAGAAGAUGCUCUAUAUGCUUAAUUAUCAUUUUAGGAUACUUCAAUUAUGUGAAUACAAGAAAAAAAAAUAUUUUCUAUUUCACUCUUUUUUUCAUUUGUUUCUUAGAAAAAAACUUAAUUUCUUAAGCAUUUCUUUUCACAUAAAACUUUAUACUAUAAAAACUAUUACUUGUUAUUUAUUACUAUUAUUAUUGUAAUAAUUCAUACAAUGAUCAAAAGAAAGAAAGAAAGAAAGAAAGGAAAAAUCAUUGCAUGAUAAAAUUGCUCUAUAGAAUAGAUUAAGUUAAUAAACAAAUUCAUUUUUUAAAUUUUCUUAUGCUUAUUGUAAGUAAUUCACUUUCAUAGCAAUCACAUUUAGCUCUAGCAUAUUCAAUAUCAAAAAUGAAAAAAAAAAAAAAGGAACAAAAAGUAAAUAAAUAAAUAAAUAAGUUUCUUCCAAACCAAUAAGCUGAUAUCAAAUUGUCCAACUUUGUAUGAUGAGGUUAGAGAGAUGGCAGCCCCAGUUGCAAUCCUAUUGUUUUGGUCAAGGGUUUACUUGUUAUCUAUCAUGCUUAAGGUUAAUCCCCUGCAUGAUAAAAUAUAGACUUAAUGGUAAAACUUAUGAAAUAGUUUUAUGUUGUUACCUUUUCUACAGAAAGAAAAUAAGAAACUAUUAAUUAUUAAGUUUAUCAAACUUCUAUCACAUUUUCUAAGAAAAAUAGGAAGAAAAAAAAAUCAUUAAUAUCUUGUUGUUUCCUUUUUUUUUUUCAAGAUAACAAUGGAGCUACUCCAAAGUUUCAACUUUUCUAUGCUUUCUCUUUACUGUUGUCUUGCCAAAGUCUCACUUUGUCCACCCUGCUAAUAAGCAAACAUGCCAUUGGAGGGAUGAUAUUGGCCCUACUGGGGACUAGAUUUUUAUCCAACUUAAGAGAAACCUAGCCAUAGAAGGUGCAUCCACACAAAGAAAGAAAAAGGAAAUGCCUUAUCUUCAAAAUGCAGGGGCCAAAUGAGAGAGAUGCCUAUUGUCCCCACCCAGUCAAAGAAUGAAAAAGAAAAAUCAAAUGAACAUGACAUAAAAGAUAGUAAAACGUUUGGAGACUGGAAUUCAAUGAAUUAUAGCUCAUUGUAUCAUGUGGAGAGUUAGGCUAUAAACUUGUUUUUAUGAUAGCGAAACAUAGUGAAGCAUUGAAAAGAGAGUUUUUUAAAUUAUUGAUACAUAGGGUAGUCAAUGGAUGAAGAGGAUGGCUAAUGUUAGCAAAUAGCUAAACAAGAAGCUUAAUAGUAAACCCCUUUCAGAUAUAUGGCUAGAAGGACAAGUAAGAUGAAAUCAUUAAAUGAAUCUUUGUUUCUUUGAUGGGGAUUGCAUUUUUUUUACUUUUUCUCUGAUGGAACUUUGAAGUUACAUUAUAUUUUGAGAAAACCAAAAAACAUGAAAAACUGGAGAAAAAAAAAAACACUCGACAAAACUCCUAGCACCCAAAAAUGAAGGUACAUUAAAGUAAAAGUAAAUUUUUUUUGGUUAUUGUGUCUUUGAUUAAAUGAUCUAUAACUUGAAAACCAAAAAGAAACAAAGAAAAAAAACAAAAAAGAGAAUGAUCAACCAAAAGAAAAAAAAAAAAUCCCAAAUAGUUAGUGUGGAUACAUUGAAGCCUCUUCCACCAAAUCAAUUAGGUGAAAUAUGGGUUCGAGGGCAAACAUGAUGCAGGACAAAGUUUGAUCAAAAGCUUGUGUUAGUUCCUCUUCGCAACGAUUUAUAACAACAGGUGACCUUAUCUGAAUCUCCCAAUUAAUUAGGUUCCAUUCAAAUCGAACCAUCUUAAUUCAUUUAGAAAGGAAACAUGGUGGUUAAGACAUCAAUUUUGGUUAAAAUCAAAUUAUUAAUGUUUUAAUUUUGCCUUGUAUUAACUUGUGAAGCCAAACAAUGUAUUCCUAAUCAAACUGCUUAAUCUCACAAGUGGCUUGCCUUGUGUUGUGGGACUCCUAAGCUAACCCUCAUCUUGCUAACAUCUGAUUUGCCAAAUUAGGCAAAUUAGACCAGUCAGACCUGUUAUAACAUAUUACUGAAUACCUAAGAUCCAAAGUUUGAUUAUUUCAAUUGGUCUUUCAAUUAGAACUCUAUGACAUAUGUGAAAUAUAAAACUGCUUCUGAAUUUUGUAUCUCUUUGUACCAUUGAGUUUCAAAUAUUCCACAUUAAGGAAAAUGGGUGCUCAAUAAAAGAGAAUGAAAUAAUGAUAAGAUUUUCAUUCUUGAAUAUUUAUAAGCCAAUCUUGGUUAUUAUAUCUUGAUCUAUAGCUAACUCUCUUGCCAAUUUGGUUGGAGCUAACUCUCUCGGGAUGUGAAUUGCCUGAGAUAUGAUGGCCUCAAAUGAAAACAGAAAGGAAAGGGAAAAACCAACCAGAAAGAAAAGGAAUUUGAUAAUUAGGAAAUUGGCAGGAAGAAAAAGAAAAUGCAUUCAACCUAGUAGAUAAAAUUAGUAAAGUGUCUCUCCUAUAAGCAUAAGAAUUUCCACUCAAAGAACAAAUAUCAAGCUUAUGUCAAUCAGCUAAAUUAAAAAUGUAAAAAUGAGCCUAAAAAGUCAAUUCCUGAUUUUUAAGAAGUUAGAAAAUCACAAAAUUGCAUUUGCCCCAUACAUGAGAUAACAGGAUUUGUAUAGAAGUAAAAGAAUGGUUGGUGAAAAACAGAUGUUGAAGUCCAUUUAAGAAAUUAAAAUUAAGGUAAAUUAGGAAGCCUUUUCCCUCCAAAAUUGCAUAAACCCCAAAACCUAUCCAAUGUUUCUCCUGAAUAGCAAUUGUACAUGAGAUAAAUAUAAUCAAAUGACAUGAUUUUCAACAUCAGAAUUUUUAGAUUUUUGAAAAAAUGCUUUUAGUCCAUACCCAUUAAUUUUGAUAAACUUAAUAUUCAUUUUUCCCCUUCUUCUUAGUGUUUACAUGAAGAACAAAAUUAGUCCAAGGGGGUUACUACUUUGAUGGAUUCAAAAUAAAAAAUAAAUAAAUAGAUAAAUAAAAUGAAAAAAAAAAAAGAAACAAGAUUAAGAUGAGUCAAAGUGUAGCAUCCUAAUUAGGAAGAGCUUUGCUCUAUUCGAAGCUCAUAGCCUUUGAUUUCAUGAGGUGCAGACAAGGCACUAUAAUAAUAGCAGACUGCAUUGAAUUUCAUAUCACUAAAAUUUUCAACUUCAUCUUAUGCACGGAAGACAAAAAAACACAAAAGAGAAGGGACAGGAGCAAUCAUUGCUUCCAAGCUAAGCUUCGAUGCACAUGAAAAUGGAAAGAAGAAUAAGAGUGUAGAGAUGGGGUAUGUGAAAGUAUGGUGAGGGAUUGAUGCUCAUAAUAAUUAGUAAAUAUAUACCAGGGAAUCCAAACACAAACCCUAACCAGAAAAAGAGAGAUGGGAGGAAAUAGAAGUGAUGAAAAGAAACCCAAUUUGAAAUCAAAGAAAGAAAGAAAAGAAUAAUAGAGUGUGAAGCCGUAGAAGGAAUCAAAAGAAUACCUAGAAGAUGUGGGCGAUGAAGUGGCUAAAGAAAUUGGUCGUUGAGCAAGUUGGUCAUUGAUCUAAGCCCCCUCAGUGAUGAGGAUGUCAGUGAAGACAAGAAUCUAGUCGGAGAAAUAUACAGUGAUGAGGAUGGGUAUUAUGGCUUUGGGAGAAGAGUUCAAUGGUCUCUAAUGGUGGCUAAGAAGAGUGAACGAUAAAAGACAUGGCUCUCAGUGGGUCCAGCAGUCUAAACCGAGCAGGAGAGAUAGUGCUUAUAUAGUGGCUCUAUGGUCGCGAACAAGCCCAUGUGAUUGUGCCUAUUAGGCCAUAUAUUGCUAGAAGAGCUUUUAUAGCAGCAACCCAGCCCAUGUGGUUGUGCCUAUUGGGCCAUAUAUUGCUAUAAGAGCUUUUAUAGCAGCAACCCAUUCGUUCCCCAGCUAUAUGAGCUUUUAUAGUAGCGAUCUAUUCCUCCCUCAGCCAUAAUGAUGCAGAAAUUUCUAAUCUGUUGCGACUUAUACAAGUAUGAUACUAUAUAUAUGUUUUGGUUGUGGAUUUUGUUGGCCCAAUUAAAACUAUGUCACAAUAUCUCACUUUUCUUCUAGGUACAUGUGUCCAACAUUUCAAACGAUGCCCUACCAUGUGAAUUUUCUUAGCAAUAAAUGAAUAUUUGUCCUUGCCUUGGAAGACUUUGACUCCUUACUAAGAAAUGUGAUGAAGGAAAGAAGUUAUGAACUUUUCAAUUAUAGAUUUCUCUGAAAAAGUGUGUUAUAUAUUUCAAGAAGACAAUAAAUAACUUUUUUGACCAAAUAAGAUAUUAUUUGAUCUUGUUUGUAAAGGUGUCUUGGCAGCUUCUUCAAGUAGCCAAGAAAAUUCAAUCUUUAAGAUUCUUAAUUUGUACUAUCAUCUCGAGAAACAGCCAAAUAUUAUGUAUCAUGAAUGUUAAACACAUGCAAGUAAUGAAAUUAUGUAAAUUAAUGUCAUAUUUAAUGGAUGGUAUAAAGUAGAAUAAAAUAUUAAUGAAAUAUGAUAUAGUUUUUGUACAAAAUUAUGUGCAAAGGGUUACUUCUGCAUAAGCAGAUGAAAAAGAAGAAGAAAAUUAACUAAGAAUCAUGAUGAUGUCACCCUCAUAGUUGAAAAGAAGAUGAAUAUAGGUGAAUAGGAUAUCACCUAUAAGCACCAUCUGAUCUAUUGGAGCACUCGUAAAACAUAAUAAACUUAUUAGCUUCUUGUAUUCUUUUAAUAUGAAUGGGGUACCUGCAUCACUUCUCUUCAUUGAAACUCUUCUACACAAACAAAUUCAUGGUGAGCACCCAUUUCUUAUGUCUUACCAUCGCUUUAUUCCUCCUUGCUUUGAGCUUUCUGAGUAAAAGGAAACUAGGAUUUACACCACAUUAUGUAGAGUAAAAAAACGAAAAACAAAAAACACACUAGACAAGACUCCUAGUACCCAAAAAUAAAGGUACAUUAAAGUAAAAGUAAAAAAAAAAAAAUUAAUAUCGUUUCUUUGAUUAAAUGAUCUAGAACUUGAAAACCAAAAAUGAACAAAGAAAAAAAGAAAGCAAAAAAGAGAAUGAUCAACCAAAAGAAAAAUGAUGAAUCCCAAAUAGUUACUAUGGAUACAUUGAAGCCUCUUCCACUAAAUCAAUUUGGUGAAAUAUGGCUUCAAGGGCCAAACAUGAUGCAGGGCAAAGUUUGAUCAAAAGUUUGUGUUAGUUCCUCUUCGCAACGAUUUCUAACAGCAAGUGACCUUAUUUGAAUCUCCCAAUUAAUUAGGUUCCAUUCAAAUUGAACCAUCUUAAUUCAUUUAGAAAGGAAACAUGGUGGUUAAGACAUCAAUUUUGGUUAAAAUCAAAUUAUUACUGUUUUAAUUUUGCCUUGUAUUGACUUGUGAAGCCAAACAUUGUAUUCCUAAUCAGACUGCUUAAUCUCACAAGUGGCUUACCUUGUGUUGUGGGACCUCCUAAGCUAACCCUCAUCUUGCUGACAUCUGAUUUGCCAAAUUAGGCAGAUUAGACCUGUUAGACAUGUUAUAACAUAUAACUUAACACCUAAGAUCCCAAGUUUGAUUCUUUCAAUUGGUCUUUCAAUUAUACCUCUAUGACAUAUGUGAAAUAUAAAACUGCUUCUAAAUUUUAUAUCUCU
RNAcentral lists this long non-coding RNA (5927 nucleotides) under Vitis vinifera (wine grape). RNAcentral describes it as "long non-coding RNA (VVIN_LNC007510)". The record is from RNAcentral. Lineage: Eukaryota; Viridiplantae; Streptophyta; Magnoliopsida; Vitales; Vitaceae.